AUCUGGUUGAUCCUGCCAGUAAUCAUAUGCUUGUCUCAAAGAUUAAGCCAUGCAUGUCUUAGUACAAGCCGCGCUAGCGGCGAGACUGCGAACGGCUCAUUAAAUCGGUUACGAUCCGCAGGGGACGGAAUCCACACGUGGAUAACGUGCGGUAACUCCGGUGCUAAUACAUGCAACAGGGCCCCGACGCGCGGCUUCGCGGCCGCGCGGAAGGGCGCACUUAUUAGACCCGAAACCAAUCGCUCGUCCCUCACGGGGCUUGCGCUGGUGGACGACACCCGAGUAAUGACACCGCCGAUCGCACGGCCUUGCGCCGGCGACGCCUCUGUACGAGUUUCUGAUCUAUCAUGCUGUCGACGGUUAGCGCCUGGCUAACCGUGGCGUUGACGGAUAACAGAGAAUCUGGGUUCGAUUCUGGAGAGGCCGCACGAGAAACGGCGACCACUUCCAAGGAAGGCAGCAGGCGCGCAAAUUACCCACUUCGGACACCGAGAGGUAGUGACGUUAAAUACCGAUGCGGCGCGCUUACGCGUCGCCGUAAUCGGAAUGAGUACACUUCAAAUCCUUUAACGAGGAUCCACUCGAGGGCAAGCCUGGUGCCAGCAGCCGCGGUAAUUCCAGCUCGAGCAGUGUAUAUUUAUACUGCUGCGUUUAAAAAGCUCGUAGUUGAAGCGUCAGGCGCGCGAAGACGGACGGCCGCACCGGUCUGUCUCGUCCGACCGCGUCAGGCGCGGAAGGCGUCCGUCGGUUGCACUUCACCGUGUGACCGCGGCGCCGCUGCACGUUCACCUUGAGGAAAUUGAACCGCUCAAAGGAGGCGUCGCAGCUUGUACAGCUCAGCAUGGUAUGAUGAAAGAUGGGCUCGUUCUCGCUUUGUUGGUUUUCGAGACGGCGAGCCAAUGAUUAACAGGGACUGCCGGGGGCAUUCGUACUCGGAGGGGAGAGGUGAAAUUCAGAGAUCCUCCGAAGACGCCCAACUGCGAAAGCAUUUGCCAAGAAUGUUUUCAUUAAUCAAGAACGAAAGUCAGAGGCGCGAAGGCGAUCAGAUACCGCCGUAGUUCUGACCGUAAACAAUGCCACCUGGCAUUUGAAGGCCCUUCUGCUGAAGUGGCCGCCAGGAGCUCCCGGAGCCUGAGAAAUCUUAAGGGAUUGGGCUCCGGGGGGAGUAUGGUUGCAAAGCUGAAACUUAAAGGAAUUGACGGAAGGGCACCACCAGGAGUGGAGCCUGCGGCUUAAUUUGACUCAACACGGGGAACCUCACCCGGCCCGAACACUGUUAUGACAGACAGGUCGAGAGCUCUUUCUCGAUUCAGUGGUUGGUGGUGCAUGGCCGUUCUUAGUUCGUGGAGUGAUCUGUCUGGUUAAUUCCGAUAACGAACGAGACUCUCGCCUGCUAAAUAGCCGGCGUCGACACUCGUGUCGGCGACCGUCAAAGCUUCUUAGAGGGACAAGCGGCUUAUAGCCGCACGAAGCGGAGAGCAAUAACAGGUCAGUGAUGCCCUCAGAUGUUCGGGGCCGCACGCGCGCUACACUGUUUGCAUCAGCGUGUCUUACCCUCGCCUGCCGGCGUGGGCAAUCCGUUGAACCGCAAACGUGCUAGGGCUCGGAGAUUGCAAUUAUUCUCCGUAAACGAGGAAUUCCUUGUACUUGCGAGUCAUAAGCUUGCGGGGAAUCCGUCCCUGCCCUUUGUACACACCGCCCGUCGCUACUACCGAUUGAGUGGUUUAGUGAGGCUCACGGACUGCUGGCGCGCGCCCUUGCGGCGCCAAUGCCGGCGGAAAGUGAGACGAACUUGAUCACUUCUAGGAAGUAAAAGUCGUAACAAGGUUUUCGUAGGUGAACCUGCGUAAGGAUCA
RNAcentral lists this ribosomal RNA (1856 nucleotides) under Calpensia nobilis. RNAcentral's name for it is "SSU rRNA". It matches the Rfam family "Eukaryotic small subunit ribosomal RNA". Lineage: Eukaryota; Metazoa; Bryozoa; Gymnolaemata; Cheilostomatida; Microporidae. The record is from RNAcentral.